This 1519-nucleotide ribosomal RNA is filed under the name uncultured prokaryote. RNAcentral's name for it is "partial 16S ribosomal RNA". It matches the Rfam family "Bacterial small subunit ribosomal RNA". The record is from RNAcentral.
AGAGUUUGAUCCUGGCUCAGAACGAACGCUCGCGGCGUGGAUUAGGCAUGCAAGUCGAACGAGAAAGUUCCCUUCGGGGGGCGAGUACAGUGGCGAACGGGAGAGUAAUGCAUAGAUAACCUACCCACAUGACUGGGAUAACUACUCGAAAGGGCUGCUAAUACCAGAUGUGAUCCUUGAUCUGCGGAUCGAGGAGGAAAGAUGGCCUCUGUUUCAAGCUGUCGCAUGCGGAGGGGUCUAUGUGCUAUUAGCUUGUUGGUGGGGUAAUGGCCUACCAAGGCAAUGAUGGCUAGCCGGCCUGAGAGGGUGUCCGGCCACACUGGGACUGAGACACUGCCCAGACUCCUACGGGAGGCUGCAGUCGAGAAUCUUCCACCAAUGUGCGAAAGCAUGAUGGAGCGACGCCGCGUGAAGGAUGAAGGCCCUCGGGUCGUAAACUUCUGUCACAUGGAUCUAAACUCGCAGAGUUAACACCUCUUGCGCCUGAAGGGCCAUGAGAGGAAGCACCGGCUAAAUUCGUGCCAGCAGCCGCGGUAAUACGAAUGGUGCAAGCGUUGUUCGGAAUCACUGGGCAUAAAGAGCACGUAGGCGGUGGCGUAAGUCAGGUGUGAAAUCCCUCGGCUCAACCGAGGAACUGCAUCUGAAACUGCGCCGCUAGAGUGCGGGAGGGGAGAGUGGAAUUCCAGGUGGAGCGGUGAAAUGCGUAGAUAUCUGGAGGAACGCCGGAGGCGAAAGCGACUCUCUGGUCCGCAACUGACGCUGAGGUGCGAAAGCUAGGGGAGCGAACAGGAUUAGAUACCCUGGUAGUCCUAGCCGUAAACGAUGGGCACUAAGUAGAGGGGCUCCGAAGGCCUCUCUGCCGGAGCUAAUGUGUUAAGUGCCCCGCCUGGGGAGUAUGGUCGCAAGGCUAAAACUCAAAGGAAUUGACGGGGGCUCACACAAGCGGUGGAGCAUGUUGUUUAAUUCGAUACAACGCGAAGAACCUUACCUGGGCUUGACAUGUAUGUAGUAUCAAACCGAAAGGGGCGAGACCUACUUUGUAGGAGCAUACACAGGUAUUGCACGGCUGUCGUCAGCUCGUGUCGUGAGAUGUUGGGUUAAGUCCCGUAACGAGCGCAACCCUUGUCCCUAGUUGCUAACGGGUUAUGCCGAGGACUUUAGGGAGACUGCCGGUGUUAAACCGGAGGAAGGCGGGGACGACGUCAAGUCAUCAUGGUCCUUACGCCCAGGGCUACAAACGUGCUACAAUGGCCAGUACAAAGGGAAGCAAGAUCGCGAGAUGGAGCAAACCCCAAAAAGCUGGCCCCAGUUCGGAUAGGAGGCUGAAACUCGCCUCCUUGAAGUUGGAAUCGCUAGUAAUCGCAGAUCAGCCAUGCUGCGGUGAAUGUGUUCCUGAGCCUUGUACACACCGCCCGUCAAGCCACCCAAAUUGGUCGCACCCGUAGUCACAGACCCAACUCUCACGAGAGGGAUGUGCCGAAGGUGAGAUUGGUGAGGGGGACUAAGUCGGAACAAGGUA